RNAcentral lists this unclassified non-coding RNA (337 nucleotides) under Hevea brasiliensis (rubber tree). Lineage: Eukaryota; Viridiplantae; Streptophyta; Magnoliopsida; Malpighiales; Euphorbiaceae. The record is from RNAcentral.
UAAUUACUAAGAAACAACAGCAUAAUUUAAUCACAAAUACCGGCAGUAAAUAUGAAGAAAGAAUUGUUAUGUGAAAUUAAAAUUACUUGUAAAAUGCAUAAAAAGCCACAUGGUUCUUUUCAAAUUCUACCGUACUUGUCUAAUUAAAAUAACUUAUAAUUGCCACACAGACACACAGAGUCUAGCGGGUUGAACGAGUGUAAACAAUAAUCAGGAAAAUUAGGUUUCUUGUUUCACAUAAAUGGCAAGGACAAUUAUAAUAUUUUAGCUUAAGAAAAGGAUUAUAUAAUCAUCCUCAAAAACAAGAAAACCAACCUUUGAAUGCUGCUUGGAAUGA